This 46-nucleotide non-coding RNA is filed under the name Schistosoma bovis. RNAcentral also lists the same sequence under 1 other name. Lineage: Eukaryota; Metazoa; Platyhelminthes; Trematoda; Strigeidida; Schistosomatidae. The record is from RNAcentral.
GCACUGCUGAGGAGUCCCACAACAGGAUGAAACAACCGUCCAGUGC